RNAcentral lists this ribosomal RNA (252 nucleotides) under uncultured bacterium. Its description in RNAcentral is "partial 16S ribosomal RNA". It matches the Rfam family "Bacterial small subunit ribosomal RNA", at positions 525 to 776 of the family's 1533-position model. The record is from RNAcentral.
ACGUAGGGGGCAAGCGUUGUCCGGAUUUAUUGGGCGUAAAGAGCGUGUAGGCGGCCUGGAAGGUCAGCUGUGAAAACUCGAGGCUCAACCUCGAGACGUCGGUUGAAACCACCUGGCUAGAGUCCGGAAGAGGAGAGUGGAAUUCCCGGUGUAGCGGUGAAAUGCGCAGAUAUCGGGAAGAACACCCGUGGCGAAGGCGGCUCUCUGGGACGGUACUGACGCUGAGACGCGAAAGCGUGGGGAGCGAACAGG